GGGCAAUAUGCAUUUAAAAUAUGAAUAUUGUAGAAAAUGAAAAAAGUCUUUAAAUAAAAAUAUAGAUUCAAAAUGCAAAGCCAAAAACAGAUGAAAAUCAUUCCAUGUCAUCUUUAGAUGCUAUUGAUUCUAAGGCUAAUUAGUAACAUAAGUCAGAAAUCAACUAUGUCCACACAGCCUUCACAUUGUGCAUAUUCUUAUCUACUGAAUUCAGCUUUUUACAACAUUACUUUCAGACACCUUUCAUUUCAUACACUGAUCCUUUAUUUCUCCAAUUCACACACUUUUUUCAUUUGUUUUUAUUCCAUCAUCCAUUCAACAGAUUCAUCCAUGAUCAUCAGAUAGUGAUUUGAUCCAGUCUCUACACCUCAUUACUGGCAUGCCCAUAAUCUUUCCCUACAAUCUCUGAUAACACACAACUACCAUAUAUACUCGAAUAUAAGCCGAUCCGUGUAUAAGCCGACCCCCCGAC
RNAcentral lists this long non-coding RNA (472 nucleotides) under Androctonus crassicauda. The record is from RNAcentral. Lineage: Eukaryota; Metazoa; Arthropoda; Arachnida; Scorpiones; Buthidae.